GCAAGUCACGUGUAAACCGGCUGCGUUGCGGCGCGCAGCACCUUCUGAAUUAAGGGGCAGUAUAUGUCUGCUACUUAUAUCAUCAAGAUCCCAGUCCAGGUAAUAGUGGCAAUCACAGUGACCCUUGUCAUUUCGGUAACCUACAUAAGACAAGUAUCCAAAUAUCUUUGACCGGAACAUUUAUGGGUAAGUGGGGAAAAGGAAAAGAAGAAACAUGAUCAAAAUUUAUUCUAUGGAAAUAAAUUUAACUAAAAUAU
RNAcentral lists this long non-coding RNA (257 nucleotides) under Mus spicilegus (steppe mouse). Its description in RNAcentral is "lncRNA (ENSMSIG00000012817.1)". The record is from RNAcentral. Lineage: Eukaryota; Metazoa; Chordata; Mammalia; Rodentia; Muridae.